RNAcentral lists this ribosomal RNA (200 nucleotides) under uncultured bacterium. RNAcentral describes it as "partial 16S ribosomal RNA". It matches the Rfam family "Bacterial small subunit ribosomal RNA", at positions 32 to 221 of the family's 1533-position model. The record is from RNAcentral.
AAUCAACGCUGGCGGCGUGCCUCAGACAUGCAAGUCGAACGAUUAAAGCUCUCUUCGGAGAGUGUAUAGAGUGGCGCACGGGUGAGUAACACGUAAAGUAAUCUACCCUCGAGUGGGGAAUAACGUUCGGAAACGAACGCUAAUACCGCAUAAUGCAGCGGCAUCGCAAGAUGACAGUUGUUAAAGGAGUAAUUCGCUUG